RNAcentral lists this small nucleolar RNA (98 nucleotides) under Triticum aestivum (bread wheat). RNAcentral's name for it is "Small nucleolar RNA Z247". It matches the Rfam family "Small nucleolar RNA Z247". Rfam says of the family: Z247 is a member of the C/D class of snoRNA which contain the C (UGAUGA) and D (CUGA) box motifs. Most of the members of the box C/D family function in directing site-specific 2'-O-methylation of substrate RNAs. RNAcentral also lists the same sequence under 1 other name. Lineage: Eukaryota; Viridiplantae; Streptophyta; Magnoliopsida; Poales; Poaceae. The record is from Rfam by way of RNAcentral.
AAGAUUGAUGAUGAUGAUUUAAUCUCGCAGAUUCUUUCUGGGCUCGACAGCGACUACAACCCGUUCAUGUCUGCAAUCUCGGCCACAACUGCUCGAGG